RNAcentral lists this long non-coding RNA (427 nucleotides) under Nicotiana benthamiana. Its description in RNAcentral is "long non-coding RNA (NBEN_LNC020028)". Lineage: Eukaryota; Viridiplantae; Streptophyta; Magnoliopsida; Solanales; Solanaceae. The record is from RNAcentral.
GGGCAACCAUCAUUUCUUCCAACUGAAAUUCAAAGUACAAAACUACAAAACAAGAACCAAAUUGCAAACUCAAAACAACUGUUAACAGAAAGAAGCUCGGAUUUUGAAAAGAAUUUUUUUUUUAAAAAAAAGGAAACUUUGAACUGUAAUUGAGCUAAAGAAUGGAAACGUAAGUGCUCAUAAAGAAAUAGUAUCAGUGGAUUGUUUAUACAAUUAACUAAAAUCAGAAGAUUUUGAGGGGAAUGGCUACUAGGGCUUUGAAACUGUGAAGGAAUUGGAAUUUGUAUUCUGAUCGUGGAGGGGGAACUUGUGUUUGUAUUAGGGUUUGCAGUUCAACACAAAUCGCAGUCGCAAUACGCAUUUAAAAUCGCAAUCAAAUAUCACAAUCAACAGUCACAGUCAAAGAUUGCAUUAUCUCUGUAUACAA